ACUCCACGGGAGGCAGCAGUGGGGAAUUUUGGACAAUGGGCGAAAGCCUGAUCCAGCAAUGCCGCGUGAGUGAAGAAGGCCUUCGGGUUGUAAAGCUCUUUUGUCAGGGAAGAAACGGUGAAAGCUAAUAUCUUUUGCUAAUGACGGUACCUGAAGAAUAAGCACCGGCUAACUACGUGCCAGCAGCCGCGGUAAUACGUAGGGUGCAAGCGUUAAUCGGAAUUACUGGGCGUAAAGCGUGCGCAGGCGGUUUUGUAAGUCUGAUGUGAAAUCCCCGGGCUCAACCUGGGAAUUGCAUUGGAGACUGCAAGGCUAGAAUCUGGCAGAGGGGGGUAGAAUUCCACGUGUAGCAGUGAAAUGCGUAGAUAUGUGGAGGAACACCGAUGGCGAAGGCAGCCCCCUGGGUCAAGAUUGACGCUCAUGCACGAAAGCGUGGGGAGCAAACAGGAUUAGAUACCCGAGUAGUCCCAU
This 471-nucleotide ribosomal RNA is filed under the name uncultured organism. Its description in RNAcentral is "partial 16S ribosomal RNA". It matches the Rfam family "Bacterial small subunit ribosomal RNA", at positions 335 to 798 of the family's 1533-position model. The record is from RNAcentral.